CAAACAACAUUAUUGACUCCACACAUAGGGACUGGCUGGUCAGCCAGGACGACAAGGAGAGAAAGGAGACACGGGAGACCCAGGAGAGCACGGGCGAAAUGGCAGCCCUGGACCUGCAGGACCAAGAGGAGAGAAAGGAGACCAGGUGGAGUGUGUGCUUUAAAUUUCAAGCUAAUCAGGCAUCUUUAGUUCUAUCCUCUGGUUUCUCACUCCUCUUUUCUUCUUAA
RNAcentral lists this long non-coding RNA (227 nucleotides) under Oryzias sinensis (Chinese medaka). RNAcentral's name for it is "lncRNA (ENSOSIG00000016316.1)". Lineage: Eukaryota; Metazoa; Chordata; Actinopteri; Beloniformes; Adrianichthyidae. The record is from RNAcentral.